CACGGGGUUGCGAGCGUUGUCCGGAAUUACUAGGCGUAAAGGGCAGGCAGGCGGAUCCAUAAGUUUAUCGUUUAAGGCGUCGGCUUAACCGGCGUAGGGCGGUAGAUACUGUGGAUCUGGAAUGCGGUUGGGGAAGACAGAAUUCCUGGUGUAGCGGUGGAAUGCGCAGAGAUCAGGAGGAAUACCGAAGGCGAAGGCAGUCUUCCAAGCCGUUAUUGACGCUCAACUGCGAAGGUGUGGGUAUCAAGCAGGAUUAGAUACCCUGGUAGUCCCU
RNAcentral lists this ribosomal RNA (274 nucleotides) under uncultured prokaryote. Its description in RNAcentral is "partial 16S ribosomal RNA". It matches the Rfam family "Bacterial small subunit ribosomal RNA", at positions 524 to 798 of the family's 1533-position model. The record is from RNAcentral.